RNAcentral lists this ribosomal RNA (2508 nucleotides) under Triticum aestivum (bread wheat). RNAcentral's name for it is "partial small subunit ribosomal RNA". The record is from RNAcentral. Lineage: Eukaryota; Viridiplantae; Streptophyta; Magnoliopsida; Poales; Poaceae.
AUGAAUCCAACAAAAUCAAGGAAAUUUGUUAGCGCGAGAGAGUACUAUUGCUUCAAGUUGUGUGUCCGGAAGAAGCUUUUUAACAUCAUCUUGUUCGGGGGGCGUCUUUUUCAACAGUGGGCUGUUGACAUGUACAUCAAGAUUGAGACAAUGAGGCUUGACUGGUAUUCAAAGCCAGCAAAUCAAAAGGUUAUACGCGCUGACCUGUACCAGGGUCUUGUUGACACCGUCGUUGCUGGCGAGUCACGUGGUGAUCGGAUUGGCAAGAGAAUCGUGCUUCCACGUACAUUUCCUGGUGGUGACCGUGACAUGCAGCGCAGAUUUCUAGAUGCGAUGGCAAUAGUUCAACGUUGGGGUAAACUGGAUUAUUUUGUCACGAUGACAUGCAAUCCCUACUGGGAGGAGAUAACGCAGGAAUUGUUGCCUGGACAGCUGCCACAAGACCGCCCAGACCUUGUGGCAAGAGUAUACAGAGCUAAGCAACAAAAUAUGAUGGACUUACUAACUAAGGGUAAGCAUGUCGGAGAAGUCGCAGCUUAUGUACAUGUCACAGAGUUUCAAAAGCGAGGUCUCCCGCAUGAGCAUAUACUUCUAAUCAUGAAAGCAAAAAGCAAGUUAAGGGCCCCAGAUGACUAUGAUCGGGUGAUAUCUGCAGAGAUACCCGACAAAAAGAAAUAUCAUGUCCUCCAUGAUCUGGUAGUCAAACACAUGUUGCACGGCCCAUGUGGUGCACUCAAGAAAAGUUGCCCUUGCAUGAUAGAUGGACAGUGUCGAUUUCAUUACCCGCGAGAUUUCUGUGAUGCUACAUUACAAGGGAAAGACUCAUAUCCCAUCUAUAGAAGGAGGGACGACGGGGUUCGAGUAAGGAUCAGAGGAGCAGAUUUGGACAAUAGAUGGGUGGUCCCUUACAACCCCUUUCUGCUUAUGAAAUACAACUGUCACAUAAAUGUCGAAGCAUGCUCGAGCAUCAAGGCAGUCAAGUACUUAUUCAAGUACAUCUACAAAGGGCAUGAUAAGGCAUCAUUUGCAUGCGAGCAGGAUAUUAUCAAUGAUGGGGGAAUCAUUAAUGAAAUUCGUCAAUACAGGGAUGCACGCUAUAUAUCUCCUCCAGAAGCUAUUUACAGGAUUUUUGGGUUUAAAAUGUUUGGUGUUAGUCCAUCUGUGUUACAGCUGCAACUUCAUUUGCCAAACAUGCACACAGUCGCAUUUAAGGGUUAUGAAAAUCUGGAAGAUGUUGUCGCUCGCCCAACUUCUUCCAAAUCCAUGCUUACCGAGUACUUUGAGAUGAACAAGAAGUAUCCAGCGGCACGAAAAUGGUUGUACAAAGAGUUCCCAGAACAUUAUAGGUGGAUUGCCGCUAAUAAAAAGUGGCAAACGAGAAGAAGUAAGAGAUCACAGAUUGGAAGACUGGUGUAUGCACACCCUGCUGAAGGAGAGAGGUACUACUUGCGGGUGCUCCUAAGUCAUGUUCGAGGUGCCACUUCAUUUGAUGAUUUAAAAACAGUAAAUGGCAAGCCAUGCACUUCCUUCAGAGAGGCAUGUGAGCACUUAGGCCUCAUUGAGCAUGACAGGACACUGGAUGAUUGCAUGACGGAGGCAGCAACAUUUCAAAUGCCUUCUGCUCUUAGACGAUUGUUUGCGACUAUACUAGUAUUCUGUGAGGUAACACAAAUCCGUCAAUUGUGGGACAAACAUCUACCAUCGAUGGCUGAAGAUUACCGCCGCACUGAGUCGAACGAGGCAACACUUGAGCAGAUGGUCCUUAGAGAUGUCAGGGAUCUGGUGCAAUCCAUGGGUAAGGAUAUUAAAAUGUAUGGACUUCCAGAUCUGGUUGACACAAAUGGUUCUUCUAACGCCGAGUAUAGAGAGGUAACAGAGGAGAGACAAGUUAGAGUUGACCAAGAGCAUCUAGAUCUAUUUAGCUGUUUGAACAGUGAACAACUGGAUGGUUUCAACGACAUAAUGGAUCAUGUGACGAACCAAAAAAGCCAGAUAUUUUUUGUUGAUGGUCCAGGAGGCACUGGGAAGACGUACCUGUACAAGGCAUUGCUUGCGAAGGUCCGUUCGAUGGGCCUUAUAGCGAUCGCAACUGCUACAUCAGGUAUAGCGGCGUCAAUAAUGCCUGGAGGCCGGACUGCCUACUCCAGGUUCAAAAUUCCAAUCAAGCUCACUGACAACAGCAUGUGUGGUUUCACAAAGCAGAGUGGUACGGCAGAGUUGCUUAAACAGGCGUCCUUGAUUAUUUGGGAUGAAGUUGCUAUGACAAAGCGUCAAGCAGUUGAGACGCUCGACAGAUCGCUACAAGAUAUUAUGGAAUGUCCUCUGCCAUUUGGUGGAAAGGUUGUUGUCUUUGGUGGGGAUUUCAGGCAGGUCCUCCCUGUUGUUACACGAGGGACAAGAGCACAGAUCACGGAUGCUACACUGUUGAGAUCCUAUCUGUGGGAUAAGAUCCGCAAGAUACGCCUCACGCGCAAUAUGCGGGCACAGGCCGACCCUUGGUUCUCCUAA